CCCUUAGAUGUUCUGGGCUGCACGCGCGCUACACAGAUGCAUCCAGCGAGUUGUAACCUUGCUUGGUAAAGUUUGGUAAUCUGAGCCUAAUGUGCAUCGUGAUGGGAAUAGAGUUUUGCAACUAUUAGUCUUGAACGAGGAAUUCCUCGUAAGCACGAGUCAUCAGCUUGUGCUGAUUACGUCCCUGCCCUUUGUACACACCGCCCGUCGCUACUACCGAUCGUUCCAGUUAAUGAACGCCUUGGAUUGGUCCCGUAAGCGGGGAAACCUGCUCGCGGUUGUGCCGAGAAGAAGUGUAAGUUAUCUGGGAUAGAGGUCGUAAAAGUCGUAACA
Molecule: ribosomal RNA, 333 nt
Filed under: uncultured eukaryote
Lineage: Eukaryota
Description: partial 18S ribosomal RNA
Rfam family: Eukaryotic small subunit ribosomal RNA
Source: RNAcentral